GCGAUCAUACCAGCACUAAUGCACCGGAUUCCAUCAGAACUCCGAAGUUAAGCGUGCUUGGGCGAGAGUAGUACUAGGAUGGGUGACCCCCUGGGAAGUCCUCGUGUUGCACCCC
Molecule: ribosomal RNA, 115 nt
Filed under: Salvia splendens (bonfire salvia)
Lineage: Eukaryota; Viridiplantae; Streptophyta; Magnoliopsida; Lamiales; Lamiaceae
Source: RNAcentral